AUUGAACGCUGGCGGCAGGCCUAACACAUGCAAGUCGAACGGUAACAGGAAGAAGCUUGCUUCUUUGCUGACGAGUGGCGGACGGGUGAGUAAUGUCUGGGAAACUGCCUGAUGGAGGGGGAUAACUACUGGAAACGGUAGCUAAUACCGCAUAACGUCGCAAGACCAAAGAGGGGGACCUUCGGGCCUCUUGCCAUCGGAUGUGCCCAGAUGGGAUUAGCUAGUAGGUGGGGUAACGGCUCACCUAGGCGACGAUCCCUAGCUGGUCUGAGAGGAUGACACGCCACACUGGAACUGAGACACGGUCCAGACUCCUACGGGAGGCAGCAGUGGGGAAUAUUGCACAAUGGGCGCAAGCCUGAUGCAGCCAUGCCGCGUGUAUGAAGAAGGCCUUCGGGUUGUAAAGUACUUUCAGCGGGGAGGAAGGGAGUAAAGUUAAUACCUUUGCUCAUUGACGUUACCCGCAGAAGAAGCACCGGCUAACUCCGUG
This 490-nucleotide ribosomal RNA is filed under the name uncultured bacterium. Its description in RNAcentral is "partial 16S ribosomal RNA". It matches the Rfam family "Bacterial small subunit ribosomal RNA", at positions 30 to 507 of the family's 1533-position model. The record is from RNAcentral.